RNAcentral lists this ribosomal RNA (497 nucleotides) under uncultured bacterium. Its description in RNAcentral is "partial 16S ribosomal RNA". It matches the Rfam family "Bacterial small subunit ribosomal RNA", at positions 28 to 507 of the family's 1533-position model. The record is from RNAcentral.
GAUGAACGCUGGCGGCGUGCCUAAUACAUGCAAGUCGAGCGAACGGACGAGAAGCUUGCUUCUCUGAUGUUAGCGGCGGACGGGUGAGUAACACGUGGAUAACCUACCUAUAAGACUGGGAUAACUUCGGAAAACCGGAGCUAAUACCGGAUAAUAUUUUGAACCGCAUGGUUCAAAAGUGAAAGACGGUCUUGCUGUCACUUAUAGAUGGAUCCGCGCUGCAUUAGCUAGUUGGUAAGGUAACGGCUUACCAAGGCAACGAUGCAUAGCCGACCUGAGAGGGUGAUCGGCCACACUGGAACUGAGACACGGUCCAGACGCCUACGGGAGGCAGCAGUAGGGAAUCUUCCGCAAUGGGCGAAAGCCUGACGGAGCAACGCCGCGUGAGUGAUGAAGGUCUUCGGAUCGUAAAACUCUGUUAUUAGGGAAGAACAUAUGUGUAAGUAACUGUGCACAUCUUGACGGUACCUAAUCAGAAAGCCACGGCUAACUACGUG